UGGGAAGUCCUUGUGUUGCAUUCCC
Molecule: ribosomal RNA, 25 nt
Filed under: Saccharum officinarum (sugarcane)
Lineage: Eukaryota; Viridiplantae; Streptophyta; Magnoliopsida; Poales; Poaceae
Also listed under: 9 other names
Source: RNAcentral